Molecule: ribosomal RNA, 491 nt
Filed under: uncultured bacterium
Lineage: Bacteria
Description: partial 16S ribosomal RNA
Rfam family: Bacterial small subunit ribosomal RNA
Source: RNAcentral
GAUGAACGCUAGCUACAGGCUUAACACAUGCAAGUCGAGGGGAAACGACAUCGAAAGCUUGCUUUUGAUGGGCGUCGACCGGCGCACGGGUGAGUAACGCGUAUCCAACCUGCCCAUCACUUGGGAAUAACCUUGCGAAAGUAAGACUAAUACCCAAUGACAUCCCACGAAGACAUCUGAAUGGGAUUAAAGAUUUAUCGGUGAUGGAUGGGGAUGCGUCUGAUUAGCUUGUUGGCGGGGUAACGGCCCACCAAGCAACGAUCAGUAGGGGUUCUGAGAGGAAGGUCCCCCACAUUGGAACUGAGACACGGUCCAAACUCCUACGGGAGGCAGCAGUGAGGAAUAUUGGUCAAUGGGCGAGAGCCUGAACCAGCCAAGUAGCGUGCAGGAGGACGGCCCUAGGGGUUGUAAACUGCUUUUAGAAGGGAAUAAAGUGGGUCUCGUGAGACUUUUUGCAUGUACCUUAUGAAUAAGGACCGGCUAAUUCCGUG